AACGAACGCUGGCGGCAUGCCUAACACAUGCAAGUCGAACGAGGCCUUCGGGUCUAGUGGCGCACGGGUGCGUAACGCGUGGGAACCUGCCCUUAGGUUCGGAAUAACUCCCCGAAAGGGGUGCUAAUACCGGAUAAUGUCUUCGGACCAAAGAUUUAUCGCCUUUGGAUGGGCCCGCGUUGGAUUAGCUAGUUGGUAGGGUAAAAGCCUACCAAGGCGACGAUCCAUAGCUGGUCUGAGAGGAUGAUCAGCCACACUGGGACUGAGACACGGCCCAGACCCCCACGGGAGGAAGCAGGGGGGAAUAUGGGACAAUGGGCGAAAGCCUGAUCCAGAAAGGCCGGGGGAGGGAUGAAGGCCUUAGGGUUGUAAAGCUCUUUUACCCGGGAUGAUAAGGACAGGACCGGGAAAAAAAGCCCCGGCUAACCCCGG
RNAcentral lists this ribosomal RNA (432 nucleotides) under uncultured bacterium. RNAcentral describes it as "partial 16S ribosomal RNA". It matches the Rfam family "Bacterial small subunit ribosomal RNA", at positions 29 to 506 of the family's 1533-position model. The record is from RNAcentral.